This 520-nucleotide ribosomal RNA is filed under the name uncultured Glomus. RNAcentral describes it as "SSU rRNA". It matches the Rfam family "Eukaryotic small subunit ribosomal RNA", at positions 569 to 1090 of the family's 1831-position model. The record is from RNAcentral. Lineage: Eukaryota; Fungi; Glomeromycota; Glomeromycetes; Glomerales; Glomeraceae.
AGCAGCCGCGGUAAUUCCAGCUCCAAUAGCGUAUAUUAAAGUUGUUGCAGUUAAAAAGCUCGUAGUUGAAUUUCGGGAUCAAUAUGUUGGUCGUGCCUUGGUACGUACUGGCGUCAUUGGUUUCUACCUUCUGAAGAACCUCGAUGCCAUUAAUUUGGUGUCUUGGGGAAUCAGGACUGUUACUUUGAAAAAAUUAGAGUGUUUAAAGCAGGCUCACGCUUGAAUACAUUAGCAUGGAAUAAUGAAAUAGGACGUUUGAUUCUAUUUUGUUGGUUUCUAGGAUCGACGUAAUGAUUAAUAGGGAUAGUUGGGGGCAUUAGUAUUCAAUUGUCAGAGGUGAAAUUCUUGGAUUUAUUGAAGACUAACUACUGCGAAAGCAUUUGCCAAGGAUGUUUUUCAUUAAUCAAGAACGAAAGUUAAGGGGAUCGAAGACGAUCAGAUACCGUCGUAGUCUUAACCAUAAACUAUGCCGACUAGGGAUCGGAUGAUGUAAUUUUUUAAUGACUCAUUCGGCGCCUUA